This 343-nucleotide RNase P RNA is filed under the name Clostridiales bacterium. RNAcentral's name for it is "RNase P RNA component class A". It matches the Rfam family "Bacterial RNase P class A". From Rfam's summary of the family: Ribonuclease P (RNase P) is a ubiquitous endoribonuclease, found in archaea, bacteria and eukarya as well as chloroplasts and mitochondria. Its best characterised activity is the generation of mature 5'-ends of tRNAs by cleaving the 5'-leader elements of precursor-tRNAs. Cellular RNase Ps are ribonucleoproteins. The record is from RNAcentral. Lineage: Bacteria; Bacillati; Bacillota; Clostridia; Eubacteriales.
UGAGUAAGCUGAACGGUCGCGCGAAGCAAUUCGUGAGGAAAGUCCGAGCACCACAGGGCAAGGAUAGCGGGUAACACCCGCCGGAGGCGACUCCAGGACAAGUGCAACAGAGAUAUACCGCCAGGACGGCUUUGUCCGACCUGGUAAGGGUGGAAAGGUGAGGUAAGAGCUCACCGGUUUUGCGGGAGACCGUGAAAUCCUGUAAACUCUAUCCGGUGCAACAUCGACUCGGGGGCUAAGCUGGCCCGGCAUCCCCGGACAGAUGGCUUGAGGUGUAUGGCAACAUACAUCCCAGAAAGAUGACCGUUCUCGACAGAACUCGGCUUACAGGCUUACUCAGUAC